GCCAUACAGCUAGCCCAAGUACCCAAAUAACACACAAUAUUAAUAAAAACCCCAUAAACUACCACAACAUAAACUAAAACAUUUUACCGCCCGAGUAUGUGAGACAGAAAAGGCACCACUUUAUGAGCCAUAGAAAUAGUACCGCAAGGGAACGCUGAAAGAGAAAUGAAACAAAUCAUCAAAGCACAACAAAGCAAAGAUUAAAACUUGUACCUUUCGCAUCAUGAUUUAGCCAGCCCCACUGAGCAAAAUGAAUUUUAGUUCAAAGCCCCGAAACUAAGUGAGCUACCCCGAGACAGCCUAUUACCAGGGCCAACCCGUCUCUGUGGCAAAAGAGUGGGAAGAUCUCCGGGUAGAGGCGAUAAACCUACCGAACUUAGUUAUAGCUGGUUGCCUAAAAAAUGAAUAGAAGUUCAGCCUCACACUCCUUAACUCAAAACCUAUAAUUAAAUGAACCAAAGAAACAUGUGAGAGUUAUUCAUAAGGGGUACAGCCCUUAAGAAACAGAAUACAACCUCACCAGGAGGUUAAAGAUUACAUUAAACAAGACAUACUGCUCCAGUGGGCCUAAAAGCAGCCACCUAAACAGAAAGCGUUAAAGCUCCGGCAGAACAAAUUCCACUAUUUAAAUAUUAAAUCUAAAACCCCUAACCCCAUUAGGCUACCCCAUGCCCACAUGGGAGCAAUACUGCUAAAAUGAGUAAUAAGAAGAAACUUUCUUCUCCAGGCCCACGUAUAUACUAGAUCGGAAACCCCACUAGUAAUUAUCGAACCCAACCCAAGAGGGAAAUGUGAUAAUAUAAAAUAUCAAGAAACGCCCACAUAAACCCAAUCGUUAACCCCACACCGGAAAGCCAAUAUAAGGAAAGACCAAAAAAAAGGGAAGGAACUCGGCAAACAACCAAGCCUCGCCUGUUUACCAAAAACAUCGCCUCCUGCAAAAUCAAUGUAUAGGAGGUCCUACCUGCCCAGUGACAAAUUUUUAAACGGCCGCGGUAUUUUGACCGUGCGAAGGUAGCGCAAUCACUUGUCUUUUAAAUGAGGACCUGUAUGAAUGGUGAAACGAGGGCUUAGCUGUCUCCCCUUUCAAGUCAAUGAAAUUGAUCUGCCCGUGCAGAAGCGGACAUAAAAAUACAAGACGAGAAGACCCUUUGGAGCUUAAGACAUGAGAUCACCUAUGUCAAGGACCCAACACACUAGUCAAACUAAAUAACAAUUGAUCUUAAUCUUCGGUUGGGGCGACCACGGGAGAAAAUAAAGCUCCCAUGCGGACUGGGAUACCCCCCUAAAAUCAAGAGAGACACCUCUAAACAACAGAACUUCUGACCAUGAAGAUCCGGCUAUCUGCCGACCAACGAACCAAGUUACCCCAGGGAUAACAGCGCAAUCCCCUUUCAGAGUCCAUAUCGACAAGGGGGUUUACGACCUCGAUGUUGGAUCAGGACAUCCUAAUGGUGUAGCCGCUAUUAAGGGUUCGUUUGUUCAACGAUUAAAGUCCUACGUGAUCUGAGUUCAGACCGGAGCAAUCCAGGUCAGUUUCUAUCUGUAAUGCCACUAUUCCUAGUACGAAAGGACCGGAAUGAGAGGGGCCCAUGUCACUAAACACGCCCCACCACAACUUAAUGUAAUCAACUAAAUUAAAUAAAAGGAGGGCACAAACCCAAAUCAAGAUAAGAUUA
RNAcentral lists this ribosomal RNA (1679 nucleotides) under Exostoma gaoligongense. Its description in RNAcentral is "16S ribosomal RNA". The stretch from base 89 to 1592 matches the Rfam family "Bacterial large subunit ribosomal RNA". Lineage: Eukaryota; Metazoa; Chordata; Actinopteri; Siluriformes; Sisoridae. The record is from RNAcentral.